CUACGGUUAUAUCAUGCUGAAAACAGCGAUUCUCGUUCGAUCACCAAAGUUAAGCAGCGUUGAGCCAGGUCAGUGCUUAGAUAGGGACCGCUUGGGAG
This is a non-coding RNA of Acanthosepion pharaonis, 98 nucleotides long. NCBI's taxonomy places the organism in Eukaryota, Metazoa, Mollusca, Cephalopoda, Sepiida, Sepiidae. The record is from the annotation of a GenBank genome assembly.